UACGAAGGGUGCAAACGUUGCUCGGAAUUAUUGGGCGUAAAGCGCACGUAGGCGGCUUAGCAAGUCGGAUGUGAAAUCCCUCGGCUCAACCAAGGAAGUGCAUCCGAAACUGCUGAGCUUGAGUACUUAAGAGGAUCGCGGAAUUCCCGGUGUAGAGGUGAAAUGCGUAGAUAUCAAGUGGAACACCAGUGGCGAAGGCGAGUCCCUGGACAACACCUGACACUGAGGCACGAAAGCUAGGGGAGCAAACAGG
RNAcentral lists this ribosomal RNA (253 nucleotides) under uncultured bacterium. RNAcentral describes it as "partial 16S ribosomal RNA". It matches the Rfam family "Bacterial small subunit ribosomal RNA", at positions 524 to 776 of the family's 1533-position model. The record is from RNAcentral.